This 610-nucleotide ribosomal RNA is filed under the name uncultured bacterium. RNAcentral describes it as "bacterial SSU rRNA". It matches the Rfam family "Bacterial small subunit ribosomal RNA", at positions 338 to 941 of the family's 1533-position model. The record is from RNAcentral.
CCUACGGGAGGCAGCAGUGGGGAAUUUUGGACAAUGGGCGAAAGCCUGAUCCAGCAAUGCCGCGUGCAGGAAGAAGGCCUUCGGGUUGUAAACUGCUUUUGUACGGAACGAAACGGUCUGCUUUAAUACAGUGGGCUAAUGACGGUACCGUAAGAAUAAGCACCGGCUAACUACGUGCCAGCAGCCGCGGUAAUACGUAGGGUGCGAGCGUUAAUCGGAAUUACUGGGCGUAAAGCGUGCGCAGGCGGUUAUAUAAGACAGUUGUGAAAUCCCCGGGCUCAACCUGGGAAUUGCAUCUGUGACUGUAUAGCUAGAGUACGGUAGAGGGGGAUGGAAUUCCGCGUGUAGCAGUGAAAUGCGUAGAUAUGCGGAGGAACACCGAUGGCGAAGGCAAUCCCCUGGACCUGUACUGACGCUCAUGCACGAAAGCGUGGGGAGCAAACAGGAUUAGAUACCCUGGUAGUCCACGCCCUAAACGAUGUCAACUGGUUGUUGGGUGCAUUAGUACUCAGUAACGAAGCUAACGCGUGAAGUUGACCGCCUGGGGAAUCGGCCGCAAGGUUGAAACUGAAGAUGAGCGNGAGAGNGCGAGACGACGACGAGGAGGAGG